UUUAGUAUCAGGACGCUCCGUGUUCGUGAUGUCUACAGACGCAUGAGGACCUUGUAUUGAUUGCAUCAAACCUCAUCAAUUUGCGCCCAUGACCGGUUCCCGAUCCCUUUGGAAGCACACACGUUGUUCAUCGGAUAUAUAGGUUGCUGGAAGCAAGAGACACAUUGAAAAAAGUCCUUGUGCAAACAUGGCAGACACAAGGAUCAGAGGAGAGGAGCGCCACAGAUGACAAACAUCCUGCUAGAAUACAUGUAGGGCCUUACAGCAUACGCUGACCACACGAGCUGCUUCAUACCGCCCAUCAACUUCAAACCUGUCAGACUUUACCAAAGUGAAAUGGAUGAUAUUCAUGUUGAUAUUUUUUUUAAUAAAAUAUUUUCU
This is a long non-coding RNA of Haliotis rufescens (red abalone), 381 nucleotides long. RefSeq lists it as uncharacterized. The transcript has 3 exons. The record is from RefSeq and is a predicted model, not a curated record. NCBI's taxonomy places the organism in Eukaryota, Metazoa, Mollusca, Gastropoda, Lepetellida, Haliotidae.